RNAcentral lists this ribosomal RNA (253 nucleotides) under uncultured bacterium. RNAcentral describes it as "partial 16S ribosomal RNA". It matches the Rfam family "Bacterial small subunit ribosomal RNA", at positions 524 to 776 of the family's 1533-position model. The record is from RNAcentral.
UACGGGGGGGGCAAGCGUUGUUCGGAAUUACUGGGCGUAAAGGGCUCGUAGGCGGCCAACUAAGUCAGACGUGAAAUCCCUCGGCUUAACCGGGGAACUGCAUCUGAUACUGGAUGGCUUGAGUUUGGGAGAGGGAUGCGGAAUUCCAGGUGUAGCGGUGAAAUGCGUAGAUAUCUGGAGGAACACCGGUGGCGAAGGUGGCAUCCUGGACCAACACUGACGCUGAGGAGCGAAAGCCAGGGGAGCAAACGGG